This 253-nucleotide ribosomal RNA is filed under the name uncultured bacterium. Its description in RNAcentral is "partial 16S ribosomal RNA". It matches the Rfam family "Bacterial small subunit ribosomal RNA", at positions 524 to 776 of the family's 1533-position model. The record is from RNAcentral.
UACGUAGGGAGCGAGCGUUGUCCGGAAUGACUGGGUGUAAAGGGAGCGUAGGCGGGAUGGCAAGUCAGAUGUGAAAACUGAGGGCUUAACCUUCAGACUGCAUUUGAAACUGCUGUUCUUGAGUGAGGUAGAGGUAAGCGGAAUUCCUGGUGUAGCGGUGAAAUGCGUAGAGAUCAGGAGGAACAUCGGUGGCGAAGGCGGCUUACUGGGCCUUUACUGACGCUGAGGCUCGAAAGCGUGGGGAGCAAACAGG